Molecule: ribosomal RNA, 524 nt
Filed under: uncultured bacterium
Lineage: Bacteria
Description: bacterial SSU rRNA
Rfam family: Bacterial small subunit ribosomal RNA
Source: RNAcentral
AAGCCUGACGCAGCGACGCCGCGUGGGGGAAGAAGGUUUUCGGAUUGUAAACCCCUUUUGGGAGGAAAGAUGGGGUGGUUCGCCACCCGGACGGUACCUCCAGAAAAAGCCACGGCUAACUUCGUGCCAGCAGCCGCGGUAAUACNAAGGUGGCGAGCGUUGUUCGGAUUUACUGGGCGUAAAGAGCACGUANGCGGUUUGGUAASCCCCUUGGGAAAGCUACGGGCUUAACCCGUAAAGGUCGAGGGGGACUGCUAGGCUAGAGGGCGGGAGAGGAGCGCGGAAUUUCCGGUGUAGCGGUGAAAUGCGNANAUAUCGGGAARAAGGCCGGUGGCGAASGCGGCGCUCUGGAACGUCUCUGACGCUGAGGUGCGAAAGCGUGGGGAGCAAACNGGAUUACAUACCCUGGUAGUCCACGCCGUAAACGAUGGGUACUAAGUGUCGGCAGGUUACUGUCGGUGCCGCAGUUAACGCAGUAAGUACCCCGCCUGGGGAGUACGGCCGCAAGGUUGAAACUCAAAUGA